UUUAUUGGAGAGUUUGAUCCUGGCUCAGGAUGAACGCUGGCGGCGUGCCUAAUACAUGCAAGUCGAGCGAAUGGAUUAAGAGCUUGCUCUUAUGAAGUUAGCGGCGGACGGGUGAGUAACACGUGGGUAACCUGCCCAUAAGACUGGGAUAACUCCGGGAAACCGGGGCUAAUACCGGAUAACAUUUUGAACCGCAUGGUUCGAAAUUGAAAGGCGGCUUCGGCUGUCACUUAUGGAUGGACCCGCGUCGCAUUAGCUAGUUGGUGAGGUAACGGCUCACCAAGGCAACGAUGCGUAGCCGACCUGAGAGGGUGAUCGGCCACACUGGGACUGAGACACGGCCCAGACUCCU
This 352-nucleotide ribosomal RNA is filed under the name Bacillus cereus. RNAcentral's name for it is "bacterial SSU rRNA". It matches the Rfam family "Bacterial small subunit ribosomal RNA", at positions 1 to 340 of the family's 1533-position model. Lineage: Bacteria; Bacillati; Bacillota; Bacilli; Caryophanales; Bacillaceae. RNAcentral also lists the same sequence under 1 other name. The record is from RNAcentral.